Molecule: ribosomal RNA, 374 nt
Filed under: uncultured organism
Description: partial 16S ribosomal RNA
Rfam family: Bacterial small subunit ribosomal RNA
Source: RNAcentral
GUAGGUGGCAAGCGUUGUCCGGAAUUAUUGGGCGUAAAGCGCGCGCAGGCGGUUCUUUAAGUCUGAUGUGAAAGCCCACGGCUCAACCGUGGAGGGUCAUUGGAAACUGGGGAACUUGAGUACAGAAGAGGAAAGCGGAAUUCCACGUGUAGCGGUGAAAUGCGUAGAGAUGUGGAGGAACACCAGUGGCGAAGGCGGCUUUCUGGUCUGUAACUGACGCUGAGGCGCGAAAGCGUGGGGAGCAAACAGGAUUAGAUACCCUGGUAGUCCACGCCGUAAACGAUGAGUGCUAAGUGUUAGGGGGUUUCCCGCCCCCCUUAGUGCUGCAGCUAACGCAUUAAGCACUCCGCCUGGGGAGUACGGCCGCAAGGCUG